UACGGAGGGGGCUAGCGUUGUUCGGAAUUACUGGGCGUAAAGCGCACGUAGGCGGAUUGGAAAGUCAGGGGUGAAAUCCCGGGGCUCAACCCCGGAACUACCUUUGAAACUCCCAGUCUUGAGGUCGAGAGAGGUGAGUGGAAUUCCGAGUGUAGAGGUGAAAUUCGUAGAUAUUCGGAGGAACACCAGUGGCGAAGGCGGCUCACUGGCUCGAUACUGACGAUGAGGUGCGAAAGCGUGGGGAGCAAACAGG
Molecule: ribosomal RNA, 253 nt
Filed under: uncultured bacterium
Lineage: Bacteria
Description: partial 16S ribosomal RNA
Rfam family: Bacterial small subunit ribosomal RNA
Source: RNAcentral